This is a long non-coding RNA of Photinus pyralis (common eastern firefly), 979 nucleotides long. RefSeq lists it as uncharacterized. The record is from RefSeq and is a predicted model, not a curated record. The transcript is spliced from 3 exons. Lineage: Eukaryota; Metazoa; Arthropoda; Insecta; Coleoptera; Lampyridae.
AUGAAUGUAUAACCUUCGUGCAAAUGGUGGCAAUACAGACUAUGCAAACGUUCGUGACGCGUUCUGGAAGAAAAUGGGGCGCUUUUCUGGUAGUUUAAGCGCCUACGCACAAACACUACUGGUAUCGUUUCCAUCCCCCACCGCAUACAGGGUACUAUUCCAAUCGUUGUAAUUGUCAUGUUGUUCCUCGACGUUAAUCAGCAAAGUGGCUGGAGAGUGAUGUUUCUCAAAAUAAACGCCGCUCCAAACGAUUACCACCACAAUGGAUACAAUACCCGAAGCUGCCGUUUUUGACAUAUUUUAAGUAUCCCAAUUGACACACAAAAAAAUUGAAAAUAAUUACUUCGUUUUCUUUUCUUUCAGAAUGCCAAAGUUAUAUUAUCUCGCAUUCCGUGGUGAACUCACUAAUAUGACUGCAUUAAGAAAAAGAAGUCGAACGAAGAAUUGGCACGUCAUUUUGAUUAUUAAGAAAGACCUUGAUUGCAUGGGGUCUCCUGUGAAGUGAUUUCCCAAGCAAAGGUUAUCUUAAAAGAACUUAGAAGAAUCACAGAAAAAUUCUUUAUCGGGAUUUAAUACAUCUCGCCCACGAACACUGCAUUUUACGUUUCUUGCUAGUAAAAAUUUAGUUAAUUCACUAUCUGCAGAUCAUUGGCAAAGGGGGAAGAUGGAAAGACUUGUAUAUACAGGACGAUUUGCGGGAGAAAGUAUAAGACCUCAGGACACGAGGAUAGAACGGUUCGAUGCCGUUGCAGCUCUCUAAAAUAUUUUUUUUCAAAUUCGGCACGUUAUUUUUCGUUUCCGUACGCCUAAUAUACGUACCCAAAAUUUGGACAAAAUCCGCCGAGACACGUAAUGGUGAUGUUUGAAAUCAGAAAAAAUCAAAUGACACAAAAAAUUCCAUAAGAAAAAACAAAAUUGAUGAUGGUUAAUCGAAAACGUCAAACUUAAAAUUUAAAACUAGCAUUUUGUAGAGGGAAAA